UUGGCCCUACGGGGCGCAGCAGUGGGGAAUAUUGCACAAUGGGGGGAACCCUGAUGCAGCGACGCCGCGUGGGCGAUGGAGUAUUUCGGUAUGUAAAGCCCUAUCGGCAGGGAAGAAACUGACAGUACCUGACUAAGAAGCCCCGGCUAACUACGUGCCUGCAGCCGCGGUAAUACGUAGGGGGCAAGCGUUAUCCGGAUUCACUGGGCGUAAAGGGAGCGCAGGCGGCACGGCAAGCCUGGGGUGAAAACCCGGGGACCAACCCCGGGAGGGCAUUGGGAACUGCC
This 287-nucleotide ribosomal RNA is filed under the name uncultured bacterium. Its description in RNAcentral is "partial 16S ribosomal RNA". It matches the Rfam family "Bacterial small subunit ribosomal RNA", at positions 333 to 637 of the family's 1533-position model. The record is from RNAcentral.